GACGAACGCUGGCGGCGUGCUUAACACAUGCAAGUCGAACGGAAAGGCCCUGCUUUUGUGGGGUGCUCGAGUGGCGAACGGGUGAGUAACACGUGAGUAACCUGCCCUUGACUUUGGGAUAACUUCAGGAAACUGGGGCUAAUACCGGAUAGGAGCUCCUGCUGCAUGGUGGGGGUUGGAAAGUUUCGGCGGUUGGGGAUGGACUCGCGGCUUAUCAGCUUGGUGGUGGGGUAGUGGCUUACCAAGGCUUUGACGGGUAGCCGGCCUGAGAGGGUGACCGGCCAAAUUGGGACUGAGAUACGGCCCAGACUCCUACGGGAGGCAGCAGUGGGGAAUAUUGCACAAUGGGCGGAAGCCUGAUGCAGCAACGCCGCGUGCGGGAUGACGGCCUUCGGGUUGUAAACCGCUUUCGCCUGUGACGAAGCGUGAGUGACGGUAAUGGGUAAAGAAGCACCGGCUAACUACGUG
RNAcentral lists this ribosomal RNA (468 nucleotides) under uncultured bacterium. RNAcentral describes it as "partial 16S ribosomal RNA". It matches the Rfam family "Bacterial small subunit ribosomal RNA", at positions 28 to 507 of the family's 1533-position model. The record is from RNAcentral.